Molecule: ribosomal RNA, 500 nt
Filed under: uncultured bacterium
Lineage: Bacteria
Description: partial 16S ribosomal RNA
Rfam family: Bacterial small subunit ribosomal RNA
Source: RNAcentral
AUUGAACGCUGGCGGCAGGCCUAACACAUGCAAGUCGAGCGGUAGAGAGAAGCUUGCUUCUCUUGAGAGCGGCGGAAGGGUGAGUAAUGCGCAGGAAUCUGCCUGGUAGUGGGGGAUAACGUUCGGAAACGGACGCUAAUACCGCAUACGUCCUACCGGAGAAAGCAGGGGAACUUCGGGCCUUGCGCUAUCAGAUGAGCCUAUGUCGGAUUAGCUAGUUGUGGGGGUAAUGGCUCACCAAGGCGACGAUCCGUAACUGGUCUGAGAGGAUGAUCAGUCACACUGGAACUGAGACACGGUCCAGACUCCUACGGGAGGCAGCAGUGGGGAAUAUUGGACAAUGGGCGAAAGCCUGAUCCAGCCAUGCCGCGUGUGUGAAGAAGGUCUUCGGAUUGUAAAGCACUUUAAGUUGGGAGGAAGGGCAGUAAAUUAAUACUUUGCUGUUUUGACGUUACCGACAGAAUAAGCACCGGCUAACUCUGUGCCAGCCGCCGCAGUAA